UACGAAGGUGGCAAGCGUUAUUCGAAAUCACUGGGCUUAAAGGGCGCGUAGGCGGACAUGAAAGUGCUUUGUGAAAUCCCCCGGCUUAACCGGGGAAUUGCUUGGGAUACUCCAUGUCUUGAGGCAAGCAGGGGUGUGUGGAACUCUUGGUGGAGCGGUGGAAUGCGUAGAUAUCAAGAGGAACGCCGAAGGUGAAGACAGCACACUGGGCUUGUACUGACGCUGAGGCGCGAAAGCGUGGGGAGCAAACAGG
This 253-nucleotide ribosomal RNA is filed under the name uncultured bacterium. RNAcentral's name for it is "partial 16S ribosomal RNA". It matches the Rfam family "Bacterial small subunit ribosomal RNA", at positions 524 to 776 of the family's 1533-position model. The record is from RNAcentral.